CGGGAGGGGAGAGUGGGCGCCAUCUUGUUCGGGCUCACUGAGGGUUCUGCCUGUUCAGUGGAGGCUGCUGCGAAGAGUGCCCCAGCCCCUGGCCUGUGUGUCCGAGUCGGAGCAGUGCCUCCUUGUGGCGGUGUGUGUGCGCUUCCCAGUGAUCUUGACACUGAAGAUCGCGAAGGAUCUCAUAGUUAAGUUGCUUUUACAGAAUUAACAGGUCUCCAAGAAAUAAAAAGAACAGGUCAUUAU
This 243-nucleotide long non-coding RNA is filed under the name Urocitellus parryii (Arctic ground squirrel). Its description in RNAcentral is "lncRNA (ENSUPAG00010014124.1)". The record is from RNAcentral. Lineage: Eukaryota; Metazoa; Chordata; Mammalia; Rodentia; Sciuridae.